AACGAACAACGCUGGCAGCACGCCUAACACAUGCAAGUCGAGCGCACUUAUUUACUUCGGCUUAUAAGCGAGCGGCGGACGGGUUAGUAACGCGUGGGAACGUACCCUUUACUACGGAAUAGCCUUUGGAAACGAAGAGUAAUACCGUAUACGCCCUUUGGGGGAAAGAUUUAUCGGUAAAGGAUCGGCCCGCGUAAGAUUAGAUAGUUGGUGGGGUAAUGGCCUACCAAGUCUACGAUCUUUAGCUGGUUUGAGAGGAUGAUCAGCAACACUGGGACUGAGACACGGCCCAGACUCCUACGGGAGGCAGCAGUGGGGAAUCUUAGACAAUGGGCGAAAGCCUGAUCUAGCGAUGCCGCGUGAGUGAAGAAGGCCUUAGGGUCGUAAAACUCUUUCGCCAGAGAUGAUAAUGACAGUAUCUGGUAAAGAAACCCCGGCUAACUCCGUGCCAGCAGCCGCGGUAAUACGGAGGGGGUUAGCGUUGUUCGGAAUUACUGGGCGUAAGGCGCACGUAGGCGGAUUGAUCAGUUAGAGGUGAAAUCCCAGGGCUCAACCCUGGAACUGCCUUUAAUACUGUCAGUCUAGAGAUCGAGAGAGGUGAGUGGAAUUCCAAGUGUAGAGGUGAAAUUCGUAGAUAUUUGGAGGAAACACCAGUGGCGAAGGCGGCUCACUGGCUCGAUACUGACGCUGAGGUGCGAAAGUGUGGGGAGCAAACAGGAGUUAGAUACCCUGGUAGUCCACACCGUAAACGAUGAAUGCCACGUCGUCGGGCAGUAUACUGUUUCGGUGACACACCCUAACGGAUUAAGCAUUCCGCCUGGGGAGUACGGUCGCAAGAUAAAACUCAAAGAAUGAUGACGG
Molecule: ribosomal RNA, 861 nt
Filed under: uncultured bacterium
Lineage: Bacteria
Description: bacterial SSU rRNA
Rfam family: Bacterial small subunit ribosomal RNA
Source: RNAcentral